RNAcentral lists this ribosomal RNA (253 nucleotides) under uncultured bacterium. Its description in RNAcentral is "partial 16S ribosomal RNA". It matches the Rfam family "Bacterial small subunit ribosomal RNA", at positions 524 to 776 of the family's 1533-position model. The record is from RNAcentral.
UACGUAGGGUGCGAGCGUUAAUCGGAAUUACUGGGCGUAAAGCGUGCGCAGGCGGUUUUGUAAGCCAGAUGUGAAAUCCCCGGGCUUAACCUGGGAAUGGCAUUUGGGACUGCAAGGCUGGAGUUUGGCAGAGGAGACUGGAAUUCCUGGUGUAGCAGUGAAAUGCGUAGAUAUCAGGAGGAACACCUGCGGCGAAGGCGGGUUGCUGGGCUGAUACUGGCGCUGAGGCGCGAAAGCCAGGGGAGCGAACGGG